AUCAUCACGUCAACAAUAACAAAACCUUUCCAAAAUCCGCUCGGAUCACACCGUAACCGUGAAGUGAAGUGCCCCGAAGAUUGUGUACUGAGCUACGAAGACCCAAUCGCAAAUCGUGUUUCUGCUGCCUUGUCACAACUCUAUUUUGGUGCAAGAUUCGCUCCGCUGGUCCAUAACAAAACAGCUCUUCUGGAAGACGCGUUCCCGAAAUUUAGGCCGGUAAAAUAGAACUGGAAACGUAAUCAUGGCAAAGACUGUGUUGGUAACCGGCGGAACGGGCCUGGUGGGAAAAGCAAUCGAAGCUGUCAUCAAGGAGGAAAAUCCGUCAGAUGAGAAGUGGAUUUUUGUGGGAUCCAAGGAAGCUGACCUCACGGAUCUAGCGAGCACCCGGCUAUUGUUUGAACGUUACCAGCCAACGCAUGUGGUUCAUCUGGCAGCCAUGGUUGGAGGAUUGUUUCACAAC
This is a long non-coding RNA of Uranotaenia lowii, 463 nucleotides long. RefSeq lists it as uncharacterized. The record is from RefSeq and is a predicted model, not a curated record. The transcript has 3 exons. Lineage: Eukaryota; Metazoa; Arthropoda; Insecta; Diptera; Culicidae.